UCCAACUCCCACUCGACAGUUGAUGAAAUUGCAGUUCUUUCACAUACCUCCUUUGUUCCUGAGCAGUGAGGAGUUUUCAGUUCGUUUCUAAGGUGCUAAAAGAGGAGCAGAGUGGCCUGAGCUCGGGAUGCCUCACCCAAAGCUCUAACAGGAUGUAUCUUUUAACAGGAUGGAGGUGUGAUGGUUCUCAGUGUGCUGUAGAGUCUGCUCUCCAGAAAGACAAAGGAGGCACAGAGCAGACCUGUUGAUUUUGGGGCUUCUGCUUGAAGUACAGCUCUCUGUCUCAUUCACAAGGCUUCUUUUCCUACAGCCAGGGAGAGACUGUCAUGUCUCUUCAUGGAAGGUGAAGCUCUGGACCUGCUGAUGGAGCCAUCAAAGAAGAACCAGCUCUGCUUCAGAGUGUCUUGCUGUGAUGCUCAAAUAUGCAACACUUGCUUCUCAGCACUGGCUAGGUUUGAUCCUCUGCUCCCCAAAUGCUAAUCUACAUCUGUGUCAUAGUCUGGAACAGUACAUCGGUUUCCACAGAAACAAAACACGUCAUCGGAAUGGACAGAACUUGGUGACAUCCCCGAGCGCAGACAGAAAAUGCAGUUUAGGACAGUGCCAGGGAAUACAUGGGACAGAGAACUCCAGGCUCAUGCCACUUCUGACUCCCCACUGGCCCACCAAGGCUCAGAUGGUUGACUUGCAUCAAGCUCCUCACAGACAUGGGAAUACAUUUACCCAGAAAGUAGGUCUUGUACACUCUGGUUUCUGGUAUUGUAACUAAAAACACAAGGGCUGAUGCUAUUAGCAGAUGGAUACUUUUCCUGUUCAGAGUGCUUUCAGCCUUUCAUAUUUACUGGAAAAGUGGGCAC
RNAcentral lists this long non-coding RNA (857 nucleotides) under Manacus vitellinus (golden-collared manakin). RNAcentral describes it as "lncRNA (ENSMVIG00005018139.1)". The record is from RNAcentral. Lineage: Eukaryota; Metazoa; Chordata; Aves; Passeriformes; Pipridae.